Nicotiana tabacum (common tobacco) is the source of this 789-nucleotide non-coding RNA. The record is from RefSeq and is a predicted model, not a curated record. Lineage: Eukaryota; Viridiplantae; Streptophyta; Magnoliopsida; Solanales; Solanaceae.
GUGACAACCCAACACGAAAUUCACACGCUUUAUAACUCUUUUUCAGUUCAACUACAAACAGUCUUAUUCCUCCCAAUUUUGCUGGUUUGAUACAGCUAUUCUCCUUCCAACCAAUCUCCUCUGCUUCCCUCCUUUUACAAUUACUCUUGCAUUAUUCUUUUAGCUUAAGAUCUCCCAAGACUUAGAAGAAGGUUCAUAUCUCAAGGGAGCCUCGGCGUAGCUGGUAAAGUUGCUGCCAUGUGACCAGAAGGUUACGGGUUCGAGCCGUGGAAACAGUCUCUUGCAAAAAUGCCGGGUAGAACUGCGUACAAUAGAUCGACCCUUCCCGAACCCCGCGCAUAGCGGGAGCUUAGUGCACCAGGCUAUUUUUUUAUAACAAACUUUUAGUUAAGGGGUAGUUUUUGUUUUGCCAAUUGAGUAAUGGGUAAUCAUUGAUUUUGUGUAUUGAUCAGGUCAAAGAAGAAGAUGGGUCGUCAUCAUCAUCAUCAUAAUGAAGGAAAUAGACCAUAUGAUGAUCCAUUCUUGGCAUGUUGUUGUUGUCCUUGUUUUGUAGUUUCUUCUACUUUCUCUGUGUUAAAGAGGUGCCUCUUUGUAGUAUGUUUCCCUGUUUUGCAGUGCUUUGGAUUGGAUGAACACAGACAUCAACAUCAUCACCACAGACAUUUCUGACAACCCCAAUUUAAAGGAAAAAACUGAUUCUUGAGUAUAGAAUUCAUAGCAAGAUUAUGUUCUGAUUUGCUCAGUUGAAAUAUACACAGGUUCAUUAAUGUUGUUUCAAGUUUCAACUUA